Molecule: transfer RNA, 74 nt
Filed under: Mesocricetus auratus (golden hamster)
Lineage: Eukaryota; Metazoa; Chordata; Mammalia; Rodentia; Cricetidae
Rfam family: tRNA
About the family: Transfer RNA (tRNA) molecules are approximately 80 nucleotides in length. Their secondary structure includes four short double-helical elements and three loops (D, anti-codon, and T loops).
Source: Rfam by way of RNAcentral
AGGACUGUAGCUCAGUUGGUAAGAGUGUUUGCUUAGUAUACACAAAGCCCUGGGUUAGACUCCCAGCACUCCAU